RNAcentral lists this unclassified non-coding RNA (376 nucleotides) under uncultured bacterium. Its description in RNAcentral is "contains 16S-23S intergenic spacer region". The record is from RNAcentral.
UCCGGGUUAUCCCCGGCAGUCUCGCAUGAGUCCCCAACUGAAUGAUGGCAACAUGCGACAAGGGUUGCGCUCGUUAACGGACUUAACCGUACACCUCACGGCACGAGCUGACGACAGCCAUGCAGCACCUGUGAUCUGGCCCCGAAGGGAAACCAUGUUUCCAUGGCGGUCCAGAUCAUGUCAAGCCCAGGUAAGGUUCUUCGCGUUGCAUCGAAUUAAACCACAUGCUCCACUGCUUGUGCGGGUCCCCGUCAAUUCCUUUGAGUUUUAGCCUUGCGGCCGUACUCCCCAGGCGGAGUGCUUAACGCGUUAGCUGUUUCCCGGCAGGAGUCGACACCCACCAGAAAUAGCACUCAUCGUUUACGGCGUGGACUAC